Molecule: long non-coding RNA, 929 nt
Filed under: Pan troglodytes (chimpanzee)
Lineage: Eukaryota; Metazoa; Chordata; Mammalia; Primates; Hominidae
Description: lncRNA (ENSPTRG00000053116.1)
Source: RNAcentral
AAAAAUUAAAAAUAUUUUAAAAACAAUUAAAAUGUUCUUUAUCUAAUGUUUCAAUUUAUUUCCUCCAUUGCAGAAUAAGCUAAGUCUUAGUCAUUGUGUUCCCAGACAAAUGAAGUCUGGCUGCGUGUUCUUGGGGUCCAACAGUGAGAUGCAGACAGACUGAGAAAGAAGGGAGUUUAUUGCUACAGCUGGUUACAGGGAGAAGGAGUAACUCGCCAGACCAACUCAAAUCUGCAAGUUUUUUCCUUAGCUUAUACAUACAAUUCAAGCUUUAUGCCUGUGUGCAUCUAAUCUUAUCUAAUCUAAACUAGGUGUCUAGGGUAGGAAAGUUUCUUAGAUUUGUUCCUGGAUGAACAAGGGUGAGAAAGUCCAGGUGCGGUUUUAAUGGUUUGUUUUUGUGUUCCAGCCCUGGUACUCAGGAACCAGUUUCUCCAGUUCUUUAAUGUUUGACUUGUACAUUCAUCAUUACAGCAAAAGGUUUAUGGAGACUUGGCUGCUUGUGGCGAUCUGGCCUGCCACAGUUGCAUGUUAUUUUAUAAAUUGCAACAAAUUUGAACCAUGCGAACUUCAAUGUGCCAACAAGUCUCUCUGCAGGAUGUCUUCCAUUUGGAUGCUGAAACAUCUUGUGAACCCCUGCCCUGACGGUACUUAGGCUCAUGCAAAAGAAAAAUAAACGGAAUCUUGUAUGGGUUUUGCCAAGUUUGGAAAUGGGAUAACAAAUGAAAGCGAAGAGCUUCACCCAGCUUUCUCUUCCCUGGAAUACAAAUGUAUGAACUGCUACUGCAUGUGGAGUGUUGUGAGAAGAGGCACUGCUGCCAGCCUCCAUCUCCAUGGCAAUAGCAAGAGAUAAAAAGCAUCUCUAAGGUAACCAGAAAAUAAACAAAAUUAAGGUUUCUAGGUUAACAUCCCAUUAAUCAGAAGUUACUUCA